CGGCGAACGGGUGAGUAACGCGUGAGUAACCUGCCCUAGAUGGGGGACAACAGUUGGAAACGACUGCUAAUACCGCAUAAGCCCACGGUGCCGCAUGACACUGAGGGAAAAGGAUUUAUUCGCUUUAGGAUGGACUCGCGUCCAAUUAGCUAGUUGGUGAGGUAACGGCCCACCAAGGCGACGAUUGGUAGCCGGACUGAGAGGUUGAACGGCCACAUUGGGACUGAGACACGGCCCAG
This 239-nucleotide ribosomal RNA is filed under the name uncultured bacterium. Its description in RNAcentral is "partial 16S ribosomal RNA". It matches the Rfam family "Bacterial small subunit ribosomal RNA", at positions 96 to 334 of the family's 1533-position model. The record is from RNAcentral.